UCCCUGGUGGCUCAGAUGGUAAAGCAUCUGCCUACAAUGCAGGAGACCCAGGUUAGAUCCCUGGGUUGGGAA
Molecule: transfer RNA, 72 nt
Filed under: Ovis aries (sheep)
Lineage: Eukaryota; Metazoa; Chordata; Mammalia; Artiodactyla; Bovidae
Rfam family: tRNA
About the family: Transfer RNA (tRNA) molecules are approximately 80 nucleotides in length.
Source: Rfam by way of RNAcentral